RNAcentral lists this ribosomal RNA (1288 nucleotides) under metagenome. RNAcentral describes it as "bacterial LSU rRNA". It matches the Rfam family "Bacterial large subunit ribosomal RNA", at positions 1123 to 2437 of the family's 2925-position model. The record is from RNAcentral.
AAAAAGAGUGCGUAACAGCUCACUGGUCGAGCGACAGGGCAUCGAUAAUAAACGGGCAUCAAGUAUAGUACCGAAGCUAUGCGAAAUUUAUUUCGGUAGGGGAGCAUUCUAUUCCGCAGCGAAGGUGUACUGUAAGGUAUGCUGGAGCGAAUAGAAAAGCAAAUGUAGGCAUAAGUAACGAUAAUGAAGGCGAGAAACCUUCACACCGAUAGACUAAGGUUUCCCCGGCAAUGUUAAUCAGCCGGGGGUUAGUCGGGGCCUAAGGCGAAUCCGAAAGGAGUAGUCGAUGGACAACUGGUUAAUAUUCCAGUACCGGCUGUAUGUAGUGAUGUGGUGACGGAGUAGUGAAAGAUCCGCGAACUGACGGAAUAGUUCGUUAAAGCCCGUAGGUAUAGGUUGAGUAGGCAAAUCCGCUCGACUUGCCGAAGGUGAUAGUACCACAAGGCUUCGGCCAAGUGGAUAGUGAUCCUAAUCAGACUUCCAAGAAAAACCGCUAAACGUUUAACAUGCAGCUGCCCGUACCGCAAACCGACACAGGUAGUCAAGGAGAGAAUCCUAAGGUGCUCGAGUGAAUCACGGUUAAGGAACUCGGCAAAUUAGCCCUGUAACUUCGGGAGAAGGGCGCCACAGCAAUGUGGCCGCAGAGAAAUGGCUCAAGCGACUGUUUAACAAAAACACAUGGCUAUGCGAAAUCGAAAGAUGAUGUAUAUGGCCUGACACCUGCCCGGUGCUGGAAGGUUAAGGGGGGGCGUUAGUCGCAAGACAAAGCGCUGAACUGAAGCCCCAGUAAACGGCGGCCGUAACUAUAACGGUCCUAAGGUAGCGAAAUUCCUUGUCGGGUAAGUUCCGACCUGCACGAAUGGUGUAACGAUUUGAGCGCUGUCUCGACCGUGAGCUCGGUGAAAUUGUAGUAGCGGUGAAGAUGCCGCUUACCCGCAACGGGACGGAAAGACCCCGUGCACCUUUACUAUAGCUUUACAUUGACUCUGGGUAAAUAAUGUGUAGGAUAGGUGGAGGCUGUGAACCGGUGUCGCUAGGCAUCGGGGAGCCAACGUUGAAAUACCACCCUUUAUUUGCCUGGAGCCUAAUCCCGAGAGGGAGACAUUGUAUGGUGGGUAGUUUGACUGGGGUGGUCGCCUCCAAAAAAGUAUCGGAGGCUUCUAAAGGUACCCUCAGCACGCUUGGUAACCGUGCGUAGAGUGCAAUAGCAUAAGGGUGCUUGACUGUGAGACCGACAAGUCGAGCAGGGACGAAAGUCGAGUAUAGUGAUCCGGUGGUUCCGCUAAAA